This 386-nucleotide long non-coding RNA is filed under the name Linum usitatissimum (flax). RNAcentral's name for it is "long non-coding RNA (LUSI_LNC005169)". Lineage: Eukaryota; Viridiplantae; Streptophyta; Magnoliopsida; Malpighiales; Linaceae. The record is from RNAcentral.
UCAAUCCUUCGUACGAUUUGAGACAGAUGAGACAAACUCCAUUGGCAUUCCAGAGCAAAUACGGUAGAGCUGAAGGACCAGCAGGACAAAAUUAGUGACAAAGGAAGUUGCAGCAGCAGCAGAAAACGAUAAAAAGUAAACAACAACACAACAAAAUACCAGAGACUGAGAUUGACGGUCUACGUUUCCUCAAUAAUUGUGGUCACCUUUCACCUGCUUCUUCUUUCUUCUUCCUUUCCCCUCAAACUCCGCCGCCACCGUAUAACACAUUCUCACCUGUAAUCCAGUAAAGAAAAAAGAUAGCAGUAGUAACAUCUUCCCUCUAUUUAAACACACACAAUUUCAGGAUUCUGUUCACUCCCUUUUGGCCUAUUUAACUCCUUCCC